AAAAUGACAAGUUUGACCUCAGAUCA
RNAcentral lists this ribosomal RNA (26 nucleotides) under Leccinum versipelle. Its description in RNAcentral is "partial 28S ribosomal RNA". The record is from RNAcentral. Lineage: Eukaryota; Fungi; Basidiomycota; Agaricomycetes; Boletales; Boletaceae.